GAUGAACGCUGGCGGCGUGCUUAACACAUGCAAGUCGAGCGAAGCACUUUUGCGGAUUUCUUCGGAUUGAAGCAACUGUGACUGAGCGGCGGACGGGUGAGUAACGCGUGGGUAACCUGCCUCAUACAGGGGGAUAACAGUUGGAAACGGCUGCUAAUACCGCAUAAGCGCACAGUACCGCAUGGUACCGUGUGAAAAACUCCGGUGGUAUGAGAUGGACCCGCGUCUGAUUAGCUAGUUGGUGGGGUAACGGCCUACCAAGGCGACGAUCAGUAGCCGACCUGAGAGGGUGACCGGCCACAUUGGGACUGAGACACGGCCCAAACUCCUACGGGAGGCAGCAGUGGGGAAUAUUGCACAAUGGGGGAAACCCUGAUGCAGCGACGCCGCGUGAGCGAUGAAGUAUUUCGGUAUGUAAAGCUCUAUCAGCAGGGAAGAAAAUGACGGUACCUGACUAAGAAGCCCCGGCUAACUACGUGCCAGCAGCCGCGGUAAUACGUAGGGGGCAAGCGUUAUCCGGAUUUACUGGGUGUAAAGGGAGCGUAGACGGCAUGGCAAGCCAGAUGUGAAAGCCCGGGGCUCAACCCCGGGACUGCAUUUGGAACUGUCAGGCUAGAGUGUCGGAGAGGAAAGCGGAAUUCCUAGUGUAGCGGUGAAAUGCGUAGAUAUUAGGAGGAACACCAGUGGCGAAGGCGGCUUUCUGGACGAUGACUGACGUUGAGG
RNAcentral lists this ribosomal RNA (723 nucleotides) under uncultured Lachnospiraceae bacterium. RNAcentral's name for it is "bacterial SSU rRNA". It matches the Rfam family "Bacterial small subunit ribosomal RNA", at positions 28 to 751 of the family's 1533-position model. Lineage: Bacteria; Bacillati; Bacillota; Clostridia; Lachnospirales; Lachnospiraceae. The record is from RNAcentral.